UGAGGAAUCUUGCACAAUGGGCGAAAGCCUGAUGCAGCGACGCCGCGUGGAGGAUGAAGGUCUUCGGAUUGUAAACUUCUGUUAAGUGGGACGAAAGAGGCAAUUCUAAUAAAAUUGUGGGAUGACGGUACCAUUAGAGAAAGCACCGGCUAACUUCGUG
RNAcentral lists this ribosomal RNA (160 nucleotides) under uncultured delta proteobacterium. RNAcentral's name for it is "partial 16S rRNA". It matches the Rfam family "Bacterial small subunit ribosomal RNA", at positions 355 to 507 of the family's 1533-position model. The record is from RNAcentral. Lineage: Bacteria; Deltaproteobacteria.